GAUCGCACGGUCUAGCACCGGCGACGCANACUUUCAAUAGUCUGCCUUAUCAACUGUCGAUGGUAGGUUCUGCGCCUACCAUGGUCGUAACGGGUAACGGGGAAGUCAGGGUUCGGAUUCCGGAGAGGGAGGCCUGAGAAACGGCUACCACAUCCAAGGAAGGCAGCAGGCGCGCAAAUUACCCACUCCCGGCACGGGGAGGUAGUGACGAAAAAUAACGGUACGGGACUCAUCCGAGGCCCCGUAAUCGGAAUGAGUACACUUUAAAUCCUUUAACGAGUAUCAAUUGGAGGGCAAGUCUGGUGCCAGCAGCCGCGGUAAUUCCAGCUCCAAUAGCGUAUAUUAAAGUUGUUGCGGUUAAGACUAAGUCUCUGCUACCGUA
RNAcentral lists this ribosomal RNA (382 nucleotides) under Hydrocanthus iricolor. RNAcentral's name for it is "SSU rRNA". It matches the Rfam family "Eukaryotic small subunit ribosomal RNA", at positions 267 to 647 of the family's 1831-position model. Lineage: Eukaryota; Metazoa; Arthropoda; Insecta; Coleoptera; Noteridae. The record is from RNAcentral.